Molecule: small nuclear RNA, 119 nt
Organism: Nerophis lumbriciformis (worm pipefish)
Lineage: Eukaryota; Metazoa; Chordata; Actinopteri; Syngnathiformes; Syngnathidae
Product: U5 spliceosomal RNA
Source: RefSeq, a predicted model, not a curated record
AUGAUGUUGUUUCUCUUCAGAUCGCAUAGAUCUUUCGCCUUUUACUAAAGAUUUCCGUGGGGAGGAACAAUUGAUAAAACAUUUAAUUAGGAUUUGUAUAUCUAGAAAUUAGCAGGAGU